Molecule: ribosomal RNA, 476 nt
Filed under: Achaeta aberrans
Lineage: Eukaryota; Metazoa; Annelida; Clitellata; Enchytraeida; Enchytraeidae
Description: partial 16S ribosomal RNA
Rfam family: Bacterial large subunit ribosomal RNA
Source: RNAcentral
UGCUUACCGCUCUCAUAUAGUAAGUAAACCCUGCCCACUGAUAUCUUAAAUGGCCGCGGUACCUUAACCGUGCUAAGGUAGCAUAAUCACUUGUCUAUUAAUUGUAGACUAGAAUGAAUGGGUAAACGAAAUAAUUCCUAUCUAAUUACGGAACCUAAAAACUAUCCAUUAAGUGAAGAUACUUAAAUAAAACUAAAGGACAAGAAGACCCUAUAGAGCUUUAAACUUAUCUAUUUAAUAAAUAAAUAAGUUUUGGUUGGGGCGACCUAGGAAUAUAAUCAUCCUAUAAAAUAAAGAUUCAUAUAUCACUUUAUCAAACUUUCUUAAAAAUCUUAAUAUAGUUACCUUAGGGAUAACAGGCUAAUCUCAUUCCAGAGUUCCUAUCACAAAUGAAGGUUGGCACCUCGAUGUUGGCUUAGAUUUACCUUAAUGAUGCAGAAAUCAUAAAAGUAGGUUUGUUCAACCUAUAAAAAUCU